UCGAUUCCCUUAGUAGCGGCGAGCGAAACGGGAAGAGCCCAAACCAACAAGCUUGCUUGUUGGGGUUGUAGGACACUCUAUACGGAGUUACAAAGGACGACAUUAGACGAAUCAUCUGGAAAGAUGAAUCAAAGAAGGUAAUAAUCCUGUAGUCGAAAAUGUUGUCUCUCUUGAGUGGAUCCUGAGUACGACGGAGCACGUGAAAUUCCGUCGGAAUCUGGGAGGACCAUCUCCUAAGGCUAAAUACUCUCUAGUGACCGAUAGUGAACCAGUACCGUGAGGGAAAGGUGAAAAGCACCCCGGAAGGGGAGUGAAAUAGAACCUGAAACCGUGUGCUUACAAGUAGUCAGAGCCCGUUAAUGGGUGAUGGCGUGCCUUUUGUAGAAUGAACCGGCGAGUUACGAUUUGAUGCAAGGUUAAGCAGUAAAUGUGGAGCCGUAGCGAAAGCGAGUCUGAAUAGGGCGUUUAGUAUUUGGUCGUAGACCCGAAACCAGGUGAUCUACCCUUGGUCAGGUUGAAGUUCAGGUAACACUGAAUGGAGGACCGAACCGACUUACGUUGAAAAGUGAGCGGAUGAACUGAGGGUAGCGGAGAAAUUCCAAUCGAACCUGGAGAUAGCUGGUUCUCUCCGAAAUAGCUUUAGGGCUAGCCUCAAGUGAUGAUUAUUGGAGGUAGAGCACUGUUUGGACGAGGGGCCCCUCUCGGGUUACCGAAUUCAGACAAACUCCGAAUGCCAAUUAAUUUAACUUGGGAGUCAGAACAUGGGUGAUAAGGUCCGUGUUCGAAAGGGAAACAGCCCAGACCACCAGCUAAGGUCCCAAAAUAUAUGUUAAGUGGAAAAGGAUGUGGCGUUGCCCAGACAACUAGGAUGUUGGCUUAGAAGCAGCCAUCAUUUAAAGAGUGCGUAAUAGCUCACUAGUCGAGUGACACUGCGCCGAAAAUGUACCGGGGCUAAACAUAUUACCGAAGCUGUGGAUUGUCCUUUGGACAAUGGUAGGAGAGCGUUCUAAGGGCGUUGAAGCAUGAUCGUAAGGACAUGUGGAGCGCUUAGAAGUGAGAAUGCCGGUGUGAGUAGCGAAAGACGGGUGAGAAUCCCGUCCACCGAUUGACUAAGGUUUCCAGAGGAAGGCUCGUCCGCUCUGGGUUAGUCGGGUCCUAAGCUGAGGCCGACAGGCGUAGGCGAUGGAUAACAGGUUGAUAUUCCUGUACCACCUAUA
RNAcentral lists this ribosomal RNA (1217 nucleotides) under Staphylococcus aureus. RNAcentral's name for it is "partial 23S ribosomal RNA". It matches the Rfam family "Bacterial large subunit ribosomal RNA", at positions 231 to 1452 of the family's 2925-position model. Lineage: Bacteria; Bacillati; Bacillota; Bacilli; Caryophanales; Staphylococcaceae. The record is from RNAcentral.